Molecule: ribosomal RNA, 497 nt
Filed under: uncultured bacterium
Lineage: Bacteria
Description: partial 16S ribosomal RNA
Rfam family: Bacterial small subunit ribosomal RNA
Source: RNAcentral
GAUGAACGCUGGCGGCGUGCCUAAUACAUGCAAGUCGAGCGAACGGACGAGAAGCUUGCUUCUCUGAUGUUAGCGGCGGACGGGUGAGUAACACGUGGAUAACCUACCUAUAAGACUGGGAUAACUUCGGGAAACCGGAGCUAAUACCGGAUAAUAUUUUGAACCGCAUGGUUCAAAAGUGAAAGACGGUCUUGCUGUCACUUAUAGAUGGAUCCGCGCUGCAUUAGCUAGUUGGUAAGGUAACGGCUUACCAAGGCAACGAUGCAUAGCCGACCUGAGAGGGUGAUCGGCCACACUGGAACUGAGACACGGUCCCGACUCCUACGGGAGGCAGCAGUAGGGAAUCUUCCGCAAUGGGCGAAAGCCUGACGGAGCGACGCCGCGUGAGUGAUGAAGGUCUUCGGAUCGUAAAACUCUGUUAUUAGGGAAGAACAUAUGUGUAAGUAACUGUGCACAUCUUGACGGUACCUAAUCAGAAAGCCACGGCUAACUACGUG